GUGUUGUUCGUUUUCAUGGACUCAGAGUAUGCUGGCACUACGGUGAAUUUCUCCUCAUAGGAAGUAACACAAGAUGAUACAUAUGGUCAUCCAAACAGGCAAGAAGUUAGAAGAAAAUGGAGAUAGUAAAAUACAUAAAAUAAGGAUCUGGGAAGAACUCUGCCGCGAGACUCCCGUGCAUACUGCUUGGUCCCAGCGCUUGCCUCAUCCACGUGCUCCCUCCUGUUGGCCAUUCCUCAUGGCCCUCGGAGAAGUCAUCGCUGCUGCCACCACCACCACCACAGCUGUCCAGAAGGAAAUUAGAAACACUAUGAGGCCACUGUCACCGCCAAACCGAAGAAUGAAGGUAAAGAAGGUAAAGGAGAUAAAAACAGGCACAGAGAGAAGAGCGAGAAUGAAUCUGAAAAAAGAGAGCUGGUAUUCAAAGAGGAUGGAUAAGAUUGUGUUCAAGUAA
RNAcentral lists this long non-coding RNA (454 nucleotides) under Oryctolagus cuniculus (rabbit). RNAcentral describes it as "lncRNA (ENSOCUG00000032833.1)". The record is from RNAcentral. Lineage: Eukaryota; Metazoa; Chordata; Mammalia; Lagomorpha; Leporidae.